RNAcentral lists this long non-coding RNA (469 nucleotides) under Mustela putorius furo (domestic ferret). RNAcentral's name for it is "lncRNA (ENSMPUG00000029969.1)". Lineage: Eukaryota; Metazoa; Chordata; Mammalia; Carnivora; Mustelidae. The record is from RNAcentral.
CUUUAUACACAUAAUGCCACGGGGUUGUCAAAAACAAUGUGUAUUUUCUCAGCCCCUCAAAUAUCUCUUCUAGAAAUGACAGAUGCCCUGAGUAUUCCAUUGUACGGCUAAAGCAAAACAUGUCUACAGAAGGACCCUGGAAUGUUUUUAGUUUGGAAUAAUUGUUAAUACAGCCACUCUAAACAUUCACGUAUGGAUUUUGAGAGGGCAUAUAUGUUUGUUUAUCUAAGUGUAACCUUAACAUCGAAGACCCAAGAGCCUGUUUCUACAGAAUAAAAUCACAUUUGAAUUUAUGGACAAAAUCGUGGACUUCUGCUGAAGGAGAAGAUCGGCUUCUGAGAAAGUUUCGUAUAUGUUUGGAGGAAAUUAUUCUGUACUGUAGUAUUUUCACAACUACCACCGUUUUCAAGGCUACCACUGAGUUGAAGUAUGGGGGAUGAGAAUAAGGUCAAAUAAAAACAACAAAAAG